CUCCACUCUCUAAAUAUAAUAUAAAUAAAAAGUUACUGUACUACUAUACUAAAAACAGCUUGCAAAACCUGCAGUUCUCUUGUCCGCUUGCCUUUACAAACCCUCCCCUUCUAACCCUGCCCAGCUUUCUGUGGCUGUCCAAUCACAGAUGCCAUAAUGCAGCUCAAUGAGAAGUCUUUGCAAGGCAGGUGGUGUGGGCACUUGCUGCUUCUUGGGUUUGGC
Pelobates cultripes (western spadefoot toad) is the source of this 222-nucleotide non-coding RNA. Lineage: Eukaryota; Metazoa; Chordata; Amphibia; Anura; Pelobatidae. The record is from the annotation of a GenBank genome assembly.